This 207-nucleotide ribosomal RNA is filed under the name uncultured bacterium. RNAcentral's name for it is "partial 16S ribosomal RNA". It matches the Rfam family "Bacterial small subunit ribosomal RNA", at positions 568 to 775 of the family's 1533-position model. The record is from RNAcentral.
UGCGUAGGUGGUUUUUCAAGUCAGGAGUGAAAGGCUACGGCUCAACCGUAGUAAGCUCUUGAAACUGUUAAACUUGAGUGCAGGAGAGGAGAGUGGAAUUCCUAGUGUAGCGGUGAAAUGCGUAGAUAUUAGGAGGAACACCAGUUGCGAAGGCGGCUCUCUGGACUGUAACUGACACUGAGGCACGAAAGCGUGGGGAGCAAAACA